UAGGGAAUCUUCCACAAUGGACGAAAGUCUGAUGAGCAACGCCGCGUGAGUGAAGAAGGGUUUCGGCUCGUAAAACUCUGUUGUUAAAGAAGAACAUAUCUGAGAGUAACUGUUCAGGUAUUGACGGUAUUUAACCAGAAAGCCACGGCUAACUACGUGCCAG
Molecule: ribosomal RNA, 163 nt
Filed under: uncultured bacterium
Lineage: Bacteria
Description: partial 16S ribosomal RNA
Rfam family: Bacterial small subunit ribosomal RNA
Source: RNAcentral